RNAcentral lists this long non-coding RNA (2829 nucleotides) under Marmota monax (woodchuck). Lineage: Eukaryota; Metazoa; Chordata; Mammalia; Rodentia; Sciuridae. The record is from RNAcentral.
UCCAGAUUCUAAUGCACACAGUACAGCUGCAUUGAUGGGUCCGUUAAAGGUUUCAAAGUGACUGAUUCCUACUCUGAGUGUCCUCUCCAUCCCCUCCCCCACCAUCUCUCCAUACAGAGACACACACAUCACCAGCUCCCAUGUCAUGAGGACACCAGGCAGCCUAUGGGGAGGUCCCCACAGUAAGGACCCAAAGCCUGCCAGCAGUGUUCUUGGACAUGGAGCUUCUGCAGCCUGCCAGUGGCCUCAUGGAUGGACUCAGAAGUGGAUCCUUCAGCUCCAGUGGAGACUUGGGAUGACCACUGCCCCAGCCCAUAGCUCUGCUGCAACCUCCUGAGAGGCUCUGAGCCAGAGGCUCCCAGCAGCUAGCCCACGCCUGGAUACCUGCUCUGCAGAAACUGGUAAUCCAUGAUUGUUGGUUUAAGCCACUAGGUGUUGGAUCAUUUGCUCCGCAGCAAUAGAUAGCUAAUACACAAAGCAUCCCACCCCCACCCCCAGCCACAGCCUUUUGAAGAUUCCAUUGCCUCACACACAGUUGAUUGCUGAUCUGCCAUCUCAGCAGCUUCAGUCACCAGCUGCUUUUGGCAGAGACUCCACAGGCACAGUCAGGGAGAACUGGCCUUGCAAGACAGGACUUCCUUGUCUUGGUGGAGACAGGGAGUAGGCUGGCUCAUUGGUCUCAUUCCUCUGAAGGUGAGUGGAUGGAGCUAGAGGGAAGGAGCUAGAGGAAGUCUUCAGCAAGGGGGCUCGAGCCUCAUUUUGCAACUCUGCCCUGGGUUCUAUACAAAGGCAACACCCUUGAGCCACAGGAGAUUGUUAGCCCUGUCUUACAAGUAAAGGGAUGGCGGCAUGGAGAGUGUAGCUGGGUUGUCCAGGUUCACACUAGGCAAAGUGGAGAAUGGAAUUCUGUCUUGGCUCUGUCUUUCUUCGGGACUUGGUGGGCUUCCUGUGGCUCUCUGAGAUGGAUUAUGGCAGACUUCAUCUAGUGCAUGAAGUCUUUUUCCAGCUAACCUUACAUGGUGCUUAGUAAUAUAGAUCUAUGGUGCCAUCCAGUCCUAAUGAUAAUGGCACAGGAGGGUCUCUGGUUCCCAUGUGAUAGAGCCCAGGUGGCUGAGUUGGACUUGACCCCUUGGCUGACUCCAAAGUCUGCACUGUCACCCACUGCCCAGGUCUUCUUGCCCCAGGGAGUCUACCCUUGGCCUCCAGCCCUGCAGUGCCAGCCUCCCACACUGGGCGGGAAUUGUGUAAAGAGCUCAGUGCUGUGGGUUCUGUACUGCUCAACUGUACACAAACCCACAGCACUGGACUGUUCACACAGCUCCCACCCAGGGUCAACAGGAAAAGGAGCUGGUCAGCAGGACCCAAGACGUCCCCAAGCCAUCCUAGAGUGGCCCUUUGUGCAUGCUUCAUUCCCACCCUUAUUUACUGUUUGCUGAUUUUCAGUGGCUUUUCUCAACACCUCAUUAUCUAGGGAAAGGCCUGCGCCCUUGCCAAGGCUGGCUUGCUCAAACUUCACCUGACCCUGGGCUCUCCACCCAGGGAGGCAAACAGCCAUAAUUCUGCAGUCUCCUCUCUCUUUCUUGGUCUGUUGAUUGGCAGAGUUUUCUUGAGUCUAGGGACCUGACCCUCUUAAUCUCUACUUACUAAUUCUGAGAACUUUCUUUCCUCUGUUGAAAUAAAUUCUCUUCUAAUCAACGAUGUUUGCCUUCUCAUCGAUAUUGCCCACCAUUGAUCACAGGUGUUUAUCUUUUCUUCCAAUUAAAAUAAGCACUGCAGCCUUAAGUGCUUGAUAACAAAAGAACAGCUAUCCUUUAUUGCAAUUUAAUAAACUGCACUCAGCAAGUGUUUAUAAUGUUAUUUAUUAAUUCCUACAUGGCCCUGGAGAACUAGCACUAACUGCUCUUUAUAAAUGUGGCCUCCAAAGCUGACAGAAGUGUCACAAGCCAUUCCAGAUCACGUGGACCUUCCUUCAUGUUAAGUAAAUGGCCAAGAAGCUGGUAUUUGGUCCUGCUCUGCCUAAGCCUAGACUUUGGCUCCUGCUUUAAACAUGAUCUCUAGUGUCAUUAAAUUGUAGCAUAAAAUGUCAGAAGGCCAGACUGAGAGAAAUCUCAGUUUAUGUGACAAAUGUCUCAGAUUUUAAGUGAGCCGUGGCUCAAAUAGUUGAUUGACUCACAGGCUAUAUUCCUAAGACAAUGUCCAUGUCACAGGUCCUGAUAUUUGGCUUGUCCAGGCACAUCUGAGGAGCACAACAGAGGCCUCAGCUCCAUGGGGGCAGCCUUGCAAAUUCAGCAGAAGUCCCAAGGAGAUGGGGCAGGGAUCCUGUGAAUCAAGGAUAUGCAGAGCAGGUCUGGCUUCUUUGUUCACUAGAGGAGCAGGUGGGGUGGACACAGUGCCGCCUCCAAAGAGAUGAGAGGUGCAUUGAGUCAGAUGCCACAGCACAGAGGUCCCAUAGCCAGGUCCAGUGGAACCAGAUUUGGGUUACUUUAGGUGAAACAGCUUUCUGUCAUCAAUGGUGUCGCACAACAGUUUAAUAAGUUUCCCGUUGCUGGAGGUGUGCAAAAGAUGCCAAUCAGAGAUGCCCCCAGAGUAUACCUACCCAGUGUCGUGACCCAGGAGGUUCCUUCCAAUUCUAAGACUCUGAUUUAGUUCCCCUAAGUCAAGGCUGCCUGGGGAAGAAGAAAGUUCAGUAUAUGAUCUCAAAGUGCAAUAUCCAAGUCCUUUGUUGACAUCUUGGACAAUAAAGUGUAACAUGAGAAAUAAAAGCCAGAAGAGAAUAUUGGUAUAUGGUUACUGGUUUCAAAAUGGUUCAAAUUUUCUAAGCAUAGAAGC